RNAcentral lists this ribosomal RNA (395 nucleotides) under uncultured Filosa. Its description in RNAcentral is "partial small subunit ribosomal RNA". It matches the Rfam family "Eukaryotic small subunit ribosomal RNA", at positions 30 to 432 of the family's 1831-position model. Lineage: Eukaryota; Cercozoa. The record is from RNAcentral.
GCUUGUCUCAAAGAUUAAGCCAUGCAUGUCUAAGUAUAAACUGCUUAUACUGUGAAACUGCGAAUGGCUCAUUAAAUCAGUUAUAGUUUAUUUGAUGGUACCUCUACUCGGAUAACCGUAGUAAUUCUAGAGCUAAUACGUGCGCAAAUCCCGACUUCUGGAAGGGACGUAUUUAUUAGAUAAAAAACCAAUCCGGCAACGGUGCUUGGUGAUUCAUAAUAACUGUUCGAAGCGCACGGCCUCGCGCCGGCGCUAGUUCAUUCAAAUUUCUGCCCUAUCAGCUUUCGACGGUAGUGUAGUGGACUACCGUGGCGCUAACGGGUGACGGAGAAUUAGGGUUCGGUUCCGGAGAGGGAGCCUGAGAAACGGCUACCACAUCCAAGGAAGGCAGCAGG